RNAcentral lists this ribosomal RNA (273 nucleotides) under uncultured bacterium. RNAcentral describes it as "partial 16S ribosomal RNA". It matches the Rfam family "Bacterial small subunit ribosomal RNA", at positions 524 to 796 of the family's 1533-position model. The record is from RNAcentral.
UACGUAGGUGGCAAGCGUUGUCCGGAUUUACUGGGCGUAAAGGGCGUGCAGGCGGUUCGUUAAGUCUAGGGUGAAAGCUCCCGGCUCAACUGGGAGAGGUCCUUGGAUACUGGCGGACUUGAGGGGAGUAGAGGAGAGUGGAAUUCUCGGUGUAGUGGUGAUAUGCGUAGAUAUCGAGAGGAACACCAGUGGCGAAGGCGGCUCUCUGGGCUCUACCUGACGCUGAGACGCGAAAGCGUGGGGAGCGAACCGGAUUAGAAACCCCCGUAGUCC